CCUACGGGAGGCAGCAGUGGGGAAUAUUGGACAAUGGGGGCAACCCUGAUCCAGCAAUUCUGUGUGCACGAAGAAGGUUUUCGGAUCGUAAAGUGCUUUCAGCAGGGAGGAAGGAAGUGACUGUACCUGCAGAAGAAGCGACGGCUAAAUACGUGCCAGCAGCCGCGGUAAUACGUAUGUCGCGAGCGUUAUCCGGAAUUAUUGGGCAUAAAGGGCAUCUAGGCGGCCGGGUAAGUCCGGGGUGAAAACUGCUGGCUCAACCAGCAGCCUGCCUUGGAAACUACCCGGCUGGAGUGCUGGAGAGGUGGACGGAACUGCACGAGUAGAGGUGAAAUUCGUAGAUAUGUGCAGGAAUGCCGAUGAUGAAGAUAGUUCACUGGACGGCAACUGACGCUGAAGUGCGAAAGCUAGGGGAGCGAACAGGAUUAGAUACCCUGGUAGUCCUAGCUGUAAACGAUGAUUACUGGGUGUGGGCAUGAAGAGUGUCCGUGCCGAAGCUAAUGCGAUAAGUAAUCCGCCUGGGGAGUACGGCCGCAAGGCUGAAACUCAAAGGAAUUGACGG
This 562-nucleotide ribosomal RNA is filed under the name uncultured bacterium. Its description in RNAcentral is "bacterial SSU rRNA". It matches the Rfam family "Bacterial small subunit ribosomal RNA", at positions 338 to 916 of the family's 1533-position model. The record is from RNAcentral.